AAUAUAUGCCGUCGUUGAUUUUUUUGUCCAACGUUUGAUCAUUUCUUUUAUUCAAAAAAUUUAUGUAAUUAUCAUUUAUUUUAUUAUAACUUGAUUCGUCAUCAAAUGUUCUUUAAACAUGAGAUAAAUAUUUUUAUAUUUGCACAAAAAUUUUGAAUAAAAUGAAUGGUCAAACGUUGGUCAAAAAAGUUAACAGUGUCGUAUAUU
Oryza glaberrima (African rice) is the source of this 207-nucleotide non-coding RNA. Lineage: Eukaryota; Viridiplantae; Streptophyta; Magnoliopsida; Poales; Poaceae. The record is from Rfam.